This 256-nucleotide ribosomal RNA is filed under the name uncultured bacterium. Its description in RNAcentral is "partial 16S ribosomal RNA". It matches the Rfam family "Bacterial small subunit ribosomal RNA", at positions 524 to 776 of the family's 1533-position model. The record is from RNAcentral.
GACGUAGGGCGCGAGCGUUUGUCCGGAAUUAUUGGGCGUAAAGGGCUCGUAGGCGGUUUGUCGCGUCGGGAGUGAAAACCAUGGGCUUAACUCAUGGCUUGCUUCCGAUACGGGCAGACUAGAGGUAUGCAGGGGGAGAACGGAAUUCCUGGUGUAGCGGUGAAAUGCGCAGAUAUCAGGAGGAACACCGGUGGCGAAGGCGGUUCUCUGGGCAGUAACUGACGUGGAGGAGCGAAAGCGUGGGGGAGCGAACAGG